This 43-nucleotide ribosomal RNA is filed under the name Trachelospermum jasminoides. RNAcentral's name for it is "partial 18S ribosomal RNA". The record is from RNAcentral. Lineage: Eukaryota; Viridiplantae; Streptophyta; Magnoliopsida; Gentianales; Apocynaceae.
UUAGAGUUUCGGGUCAAGGUUUCCGUAGGUGAACCUGCGGAAG